RNAcentral lists this ribosomal RNA (449 nucleotides) under uncultured bacterium. Its description in RNAcentral is "partial 16S ribosomal RNA". It matches the Rfam family "Bacterial small subunit ribosomal RNA", at positions 29 to 523 of the family's 1533-position model. The record is from RNAcentral.
AACGAACGCUGGCGGCAUGCCUAACACAUGCAAGUCGAACGAGACCUUCGGGUCUAGUGGCGCACGGGUGCGUAACGCGUGGGAACCUGCCCUUGGGUUCGGAAUAACUCAGAGAAAUUUGAGCUAAUACCGGAUAAUGUCUUCGGACCAAAGAUUUAUCGCCUUUGGAUGGGCCCGCGUAGGAUUAGCUUGUUGGUGGGGUAAUGGCCUACCAAGGCGACGAUCCUUAGCUGGUCUGAGAGGAUGAUCAGCCACACUGGGACUGAGACACGGCCCAGACUCCUACGGGAGGCAGCAGUGGGGAAUAUUGGACAAUGGGCAAGAGCCUGAUCCAGCAAUGCCGCGUGAGUGAUGAAGGCCUUAGGGUCGUAAAGCUCUUUUACCAGGGAUGAUGAUGACAGUACCUGGAGAAUAAGCUCCGGCUAACUCCGUGCCAGCCGCCGCGGUAA